Hemicordylus capensis (graceful crag lizard) is the source of this 632-nucleotide long non-coding RNA. RefSeq lists it as uncharacterized. Lineage: Eukaryota; Metazoa; Chordata; Lepidosauria; Squamata; Cordylidae. The transcript is spliced from 3 exons. The record is from RefSeq and is a predicted model, not a curated record.
GCAGUAUAAAAGAUCACGCUGCCCUGGGCUCUGUAACAUCAGUUUCAGCAGAGGGAAGAAGAGAGAGGAAGGGAGUAUUCUAUCUGCCCUGUGUCAUCUUGCUUUGGAAGGCAGUGAGUAGAGUCUGUGAUACAGGUGAGGUGGUGACUGUCCUGAAUCGGUGCUUGGGUGCAGUAAUGGACUAGAUGAGGGUGCAUAAGCUGAGACUCAGUCCAGAUCUAUAUGCACACACCGUGCAGAAGCUGCAAAGGAAAGUAGGUGCUGCAACCAAUUAAACCACUAAGACGAGAGAAAAGCACACACAGAGAAACCUCAAUCAAGAUAGCAAAAGAACCUGUUCUUUAAUGACAAUGCAGCUUGCCUCACCAACCCAAGGUCUGAAUCCAAAUUGUGAUUUUGUAAACUACAGGAGCACUGCUGGAAAGGCACAAACAUGCGGUUGGUGACAGCCAAAGUUUCACCCAUGAAAUACCCGUUUGUAACCAUAAGGAAAUCUACCGCUAUCCUUAUGAGUACAGUGCUUAUAUGGGGAAAUUGGGGGGGUGGUGCUAAUUUGGUCAUAUGUGCUUGCCUUAGCAGAUUCCCACUCCUCUUGGAAAGAGAGAGGAAGAAAAGACUCAAUCCCACCUUUG